RNAcentral lists this ribosomal RNA (253 nucleotides) under uncultured bacterium. RNAcentral's name for it is "partial 16S ribosomal RNA". It matches the Rfam family "Bacterial small subunit ribosomal RNA", at positions 524 to 776 of the family's 1533-position model. The record is from RNAcentral.
UACGGAGGGUGCAAGCGUUAUCCGGAAUUACUGGGUUUAAAGGGUGCGUAGGCGGCUUGAUAAGUCAGGUGUGAAAGCCUAUCGCUUAACGAUAGAAUAGACUUUGAUACUGUAAAGCUUGAAAGGGGUUGAGGUCAGCAGAAUGUGGCAUGUAGAGGUGAAAUGCAUAGAUAUGCCAUAGAACACCGAUUGCGAAGGCAGCUGGCUGGGCCUACUUUGACGCUGAGGCACGAAAGCGUGGGGAGCGAACAGG